Molecule: transfer RNA, 64 nt
Filed under: Serrognathus castanicolor
Lineage: Eukaryota; Metazoa; Arthropoda; Insecta; Coleoptera; Lucanidae
Description: tRNA-Leu
Source: RNAcentral
AUUGCUUUGGCAGAUAAGUGCAAUAAAUUUAGAAUUUAUGAAUGUAUGUACAAUACAGGUAAUA